AGCUUGGCGCAGUGGCAGUAUCAUAGCCAAUGAGGUUUAUCCGAGGCACAUUAUUGCUAAUUGAAAACUUUUCCCAAUACCCCACCCAUGAUGACUUGAAAUAUAGUCGGCACUGACAAUUUGACAGUCUGUACAGA
This 137-nucleotide small nuclear RNA is filed under the name Cebus imitator (Panamanian white-faced capuchin). RNAcentral describes it as "U4 spliceosomal RNA (ENSCCAG00000001441.1)". It matches the Rfam family "U4 spliceosomal RNA". From Rfam's summary of the family: U4 small nuclear RNA (U4 snRNA) is a component of the major U2-dependent spliceosome. The structure of U4 snRNA from yeast and human has been reported. U4 snRNA presents a k-turn RNA motif in the 5p-SL related to recognition of Snu13 protein. The record is from Rfam by way of RNAcentral. Lineage: Eukaryota; Metazoa; Chordata; Mammalia; Primates; Cebidae.